GGUGGGUAGAAACAGAUGGGUGGAGACAUGCGGGUAGAGACAGAUGGGUGGAAACAGAUGGUCAGAGACAGAUGGGUGGAGAUAGAUAAGUAAAGAUAGAUGGGUGGAGACAGGCGGGUAGAGACAGAUGGGUGGAAACAGAUAGUCGGAGACAGAUGAGAGGAGAUAGAUGAGUAAAGAUAGAUGGGUAGAGACAGAUGGGUGGGGUAAGGUGGGUAGAGACAGAUGGGUGGAGACAGGCGGGUAGAGACAGAUGGGUGGAAACAGAUGGUCGGAGACAGACGAGUGGAGAUAGAUGAGUAAAGAUAGAUGGGUAGAGACAGAUGGGUGGAAAC
Melanotaenia boesemani (Boeseman's rainbowfish) is the source of this 335-nucleotide long non-coding RNA. RefSeq lists it as uncharacterized. The record is from RefSeq and is a predicted model, not a curated record. The transcript has 3 exons. Lineage: Eukaryota; Metazoa; Chordata; Actinopteri; Atheriniformes; Melanotaeniidae.